Mandrillus leucophaeus (drill) is the source of this 1227-nucleotide RNA transcript. It is a transcript of the gene named triosephosphate isomerase-like, with no coding region annotated. The transcript has a single exon. The record is from RefSeq and is a predicted model, not a curated record. Lineage: Eukaryota; Metazoa; Chordata; Mammalia; Primates; Cercopithecidae.
CCGACUUUCAGCGCCUCAGCUCCAGCGCCAUGGCGCCUUCCAGGAAGUUCUUCGUUGUGGGGAACUGGAAGAUGAACGGGCAGAAGCAGAAUCUGGGGGAGCUCAUUGGCACUCUGAACGCUGCCAAGGUGCCGGCCGAAACCGAGGUGGUUCGUGCUCCCCCCACUGCCUAUAUCGACUUUGCCCAGCAAAAGCUAGAUCCCAAGACUGCUGUGGCUGCACAGAACUGCUACAAAGUGACUAAUGGGGACUUUACUGGGGAGAUCAGCCCUGGCAUGAUCAAAGACUGCGGAGCCACGUGGGUGGUCUUGGGGCACUCAGAGAGAAGGCAUGUCUUUGAGGAGUCAGAUGAGCUGAUUGGGCAUAAAGUGGCCCAUGCUCUGUCAGAGGGACUCGGAGUAAUCUCCUGUAUUGGGGAGAAGCUAGAUGAAAGGGAAGCUGGCAUCACUGAGAAGGUUGUUUUCCAGCAGACAAAAGUCAUCGCAGAUAAUGUGAAAGACUGGAGCAAGGCCGUCCUGGCCUAUGAUCCUGUGUGAGCCAUUGGUACUGGCAAGACUGCAACACCCCAACAGGCCCAGGAAGUACACGAGAAGUUCCGAGGAUGGCUUGAGUCCAACGUCUCUGAAGCCGUGGCUCAGAGCACCGAUAUCAUUUAUGGAGGCUCUGUGACUGGGGCAACCUGCAAGGAGCAGGCCAGCCAGCCUGACGUGGAUGGUUUCCUUGUGGGUGGUGCUUCCCUUAAGCCCGAAUUCGUGGACAUCAUCAAUGCCAAACAAUGAGCCCCAUCCAUCUUCCCUACCCUUCCUGCCAAGCCAGGGACUAAGCAGCCCAGAAGCCCAGUAACUGCCCCUCCCCUGCACAUGCUUCUGAUGGUGUCACCUGCUCCUUCCUGUGGCCUUAUCCAAACUGUGCCUUCCUUUACUGUUUAUAUCUUCACCCUGUAAUGGUUGGGACCAGGUCAAUCCCUUCUCCACUUACUAUAAUAGUUGGAAAUAAACGUCACCAAGGUGGCUUCUCCUUGGCUGAGAGGUGGAAGGUGUGGGAUUUGCUCCUGGGUUCCCUAGGCCCUAGUGAGGGCAGGAGAGAAACCAUCCUGUCCCUUCUUACACCGUGAGGCCAAGAUCCUCCCCUCAGAAGGCAGGAGUGCUGCCCUCUCCCAUGGUGCCCAUGCCUACGUGCUGUGUACGUGAACCACCCACAUGUGAGGGAAUAAACACCUGGCACUAG